Triticum dicoccoides is the source of this 1627-nucleotide long non-coding RNA. RefSeq lists it as uncharacterized. The transcript is spliced from 4 exons. NCBI's taxonomy places the organism in Eukaryota, Viridiplantae, Streptophyta, Magnoliopsida, Poales, Poaceae. The record is from RefSeq and is a predicted model, not a curated record.
GAUGUGCGGGAACCCUAGUAGCCGUCGCCCGCCGCCACCCGCUGUGCCCAUCCCCAUGGCCGCUUCCCCUCCUCCGACGAAAGUGGUCGCCGGCGCUGAAGACGGGAACUCCUCCUCCGCCAUCCCCAAGAUCCAGCCGACGGAGGCCAAAGUCGGCGAAGAGAAGGCCGCCGCCAUGGAAGCAACGUCAUGGUUUGGCCGGUUUGGGCAGCUCUACUUGGCCCUCUCGUCAUCCGCGCCUCGCCGGUCAAGACAGAAACCGAGAGGGGGAAGGCCACCGGUGCCAGCGACGGGAACUCCUCCGCCGCCAGUCCCAAGACCCACCCGCCGCACGCCGGAAGUGCCUGUGUGAAGACAUCCUGGCCAGGCCGCUUUGGCCAGUACUACUACCCCGUCCUCCUUGCACUGCUCAUCCGCAUCUUACCGGUGAACAAAGUAAAAAGGACCGGAGGGAGUACUGGCUUGAGACCUUCUGGAAGCUCAGCCCCAUCCGCCGUGCAUUUAUCAUACGCGCCUUCAUGGCCAUGGGUUUCAUGCUGAUCCUGGCCUUGGCCGUUCCUGCCCUGUUACUGGUGCACUUCCACGGGCAGGAGAUGGCCCAGGUGUGGGUCAUGUCGCUCACUCUGUGUUCAUACGCCUUCCAUGCCUCCCUCUUCAUCUGGAGGGAUUGGUGGUUCUACACAGACUUCGCGCGUCUCUCUUACGGCCCCCUGCCGGCCUACUUCGCCGCCACUGCCAUCGGCCCUCGCACCGCCAUCUUCAUCCUGCAUUGGAGCACGGUUUGGGCCACCUGGGCUGCUGCAUCGCUUUGCACCGCCUGCACAAGGGGACCGAGCGGGGCAUUCACGACUUGCCUAGGCGGUCGUGCCAUAGCAAGUACACACCCAAAGAACUCACCUUCUUGGUCUGUAUCAGAGUGCUCACUCUCUCGGUGGGUUGGACUAUGUUCAUGGCGUUGCCGAUCUACGGAUUUGAGCUGACUGAAGAGUUGUCUAUUGUCGUACUCCUCUCCUCCAUUGGCUGGAUGUAUGUCACCCUCUGGUUAUACCAUGUCGCUAACUAUCUCAUGCACGGAGUUCUCCUUAAGGGGCCAAUGAAUUCACUUCCAUAUCUGAUCCCAUGUGCCGUGUUCACUCCUACGCUCUUGCUUCUGCCUGUUAUGUUAUCGGUAUUGUUACAUUGGCUGUUGCUGAUGGCCGUGGUUGGCUUCCUUGGGUACCAUCUUGCUGUUUACAUACGCUACUUGCACACUGCCGCACCAUGUGAAACAAAAGCACUUGAGGGAGACUGAAGAUAUAUGUGCAGCUGCGCAGCUACUUUAUGAGACGGAGAAGGUGCUUCUUAUUUUAUGAAAUGUGUCUUUGACCAAGUCUGUUUGUGCGGCAGACCAACAGUAUGGAGAGGCUGGAGAUUAUUUGUUGUAUGUUCAUCAAAAGAUGACCCCUUAAAACUCUAUGCAAGACAAUGUGUACAGUCAACUUUUUAUGUGUUUGCAUUGGGAUAUUAUGUACUUCUACUCUUGGGGUGUUGGAUAUUAGGGCAUGUACAAUGGUUGAUAAGAUAGUCUUAUCUUAAGUCUUGCAUGUAAUUUAGAAAUGACAAAAAAUUGUGUGUACAAUGGGUCAUC